RNAcentral lists this ribosomal RNA (226 nucleotides) under uncultured bacterium. RNAcentral's name for it is "partial 16S ribosomal RNA". It matches the Rfam family "Bacterial small subunit ribosomal RNA", at positions 124 to 334 of the family's 1533-position model. The record is from RNAcentral.
CCUAGUCCCUACGUUCCGGAUAAUUGACCGAAAGGUCUUGUAAUACGGGGGAGGGUCCUGAUGGGGCAUCUCAUUGGGAAGGAACGUGCAAGCAUUUAUGUUUGUGCGGUGCGGGGAGGGGUUCGCGGAUUAUCAGCUCGUUAGUGAGGUAACGGCUCACCAAGGCGACGACGAUUAGCUGGUCUGAGAGGAUGGUCAGCCACAUUGGAACUGAGACACUGUCCAG